GAUGAACGCUGGCGGUGUGCCUAAUACAUGCAAGUCGAGCGAACAGACGAGGAGCUUACUCCUCUGACGUUAGCGGCGGACGGGUGAGUAACACGUGGAUAACCUACCUAUAAGACUGGGAUAACUUCGGGAAACCGGAGCUAAUACCGGAUAACAUGUUGAACCGCAUGGUUCAACAGUGAAAGACGGUCUUGCUGUCACUUAUAGAUGGAUCCGCGUCGCAUUAGCUAGUUGGUAAGGUAACGGCUUACCAAGGCAACGAUGCGUAGCCGACCUGAGAGGGUGAUCGGCCACACGGGAACUGAGACACGGUCCAGACUCCUACGGGAGGCGGCAGUAGGGAAUCUUCCGCAAUGGGCGAAAGCCUGACGGAGCAACGCCGCGUGAGUGAAGAAGGUCUUCGGAUCGUAAAACUCUGUUAUUAGGGAAGAACAAAUGUGUAAGUAACUAUGCACGUCUUGACGGUACCUAAUCAGAAAGCCACGGCUAACUACGUG
This 497-nucleotide ribosomal RNA is filed under the name uncultured bacterium. Its description in RNAcentral is "partial 16S ribosomal RNA". It matches the Rfam family "Bacterial small subunit ribosomal RNA", at positions 28 to 507 of the family's 1533-position model. The record is from RNAcentral.